Cyprinodon variegatus (sheepshead minnow) is the source of this 82-nucleotide small nucleolar RNA. Its record names the gene SNORD24. It matches the Rfam family "Small nucleolar RNA SNORD24". Rfam says of the family: U24 is a member of the C/D class of snoRNA which contain the C (UGAUGA) and D (CUGA) box motifs. C/D box snoRNAs have been shown to act as methylation guides for a number of RNA targets. The record is from Ensembl. Lineage: Eukaryota; Metazoa; Chordata; Actinopteri; Cyprinodontiformes; Cyprinodontidae.
UGCCACAAUGAUGACAAUUAUUUGCUACUCUCGACUAGAUGGAUGACGAUAUAGCAACCACCAAUAAUCACAUUCUGAGGCA